GAAGCGCUGAUAAGCUAUCCCGAGCGAUGCAUACCGCGAUAUGAAACGCAUAUUUUGUAACAAAAGCUUGCUCCGUUGUUCACAUGGUGUUGUUUGUUUGUCACGGUUAAGUACAUUAAAAGCCCUGGUUUUCCUAAAAUUUGCCGACAUUAAUGGGCAUACAUUCAACUAAAAAUUGCAAUAUUAGUGUGACAAAUUGUGCCGGCCCGCUAUCGCUUGCUUUUCCCGCUGAUUGCCAGGGUCAAUCAUUGCCGUUAUGUCUUACCUUUCUACUUACAUGGCAGGAUAUAUGUUUAUCAAAACAUUUUAUCUGGUACACUUGAAGUGCAUAACACAACUGAAGCACUGACUGCAAAUCAAAGGAUCCCCACAAGACCGGAAGAAAGUGCCCUCCGCAGGAAAUGCAUGGUUGAUUACGGUAAUCUUUGGGCGCUUUAUCACUGCAGUUUUUGUUAAAUUUCGUUUAGAGCGUUUACUUACUGUUUUGUUCGUGCAUGUGUUACUUAAUUUCAGAUUUAAUGCCCUUUUUAAGACUUUUUCCUUAGUCGACUUUAGAGCAAGAUAAAAUAAGCAAAUUAGUAAACUAGCUAUUUGUUACCCAAACUUGCUUCCGUAUGCGUUCUGCAUCCAGAUUUUGCUUUGGCUCACAUAAUUGUCCAGUAUUAUGAUAAUGCAUUUAUUUUAUGCAUUAUGGCAGCGUUUUCAAUAAUUACUCAGUCAUAAUAUAUGCAGUAAGCAAUAAGAAUCAUAAUACGAGGCUUUGUACGAGUUUCUGUAGAAUAGACAUUGAAUUUGAGCGCGGUUUGCGCCGAUACAUCAUACUACUGAUUAUCGAGGGAAUCAUGAUUACGUUAUCCCUGCGCAUUAAUUAUUCAUGGUUUAAUAAAGCGGAACUUGCUGCGAACGUUACUGUGUUAUUUUGACACCUACGGCACACUCCAACGCAGGAGUUGUAUAGCAUCCUGCGGAUCAUCCCCGCUUGACGACUUGCUUGGCUAAUUGUCGCUUGCUCCUUCGUUUAACCUCUAACUGCUCUGUAACAUUUGCCACCUCAUCAAUGACUUACUGUAUUUUCCAAUAUCGGCGAAAAUUAAAUAAAUGUUUUUUGAACUGUCCAGCAGCUCGGCGACGAGGAUUGCCACAGCGAAGUCGUAUAUAGAAGUUGCGGUAUUACCGUUUUGGCUUAUCAUCUACACUCCUUUAUUCAGUUUAUUGAUUUCUACCGUUCUUCACACAAUAAAUUAGUAACGAGGUUUAUUAUUUUAAAUAAACACCAUCGCUCAGUAUCUGGAGUUUAUUUAUUUGCAGUGCGUUUUGACACUGGCAGUUACUAUUGCAAUACAACAGUGCGGUUUAUGAUAAAUGUUUACGAAACAAAAUAUAAACAUGAAUUACGGUA
Molecule: long non-coding RNA, 1399 nt
Organism: Paramacrobiotus metropolitanus
Lineage: Eukaryota; Metazoa; Tardigrada; Eutardigrada; Parachela; Macrobiotidae
Exons: 2
Source: RefSeq, a predicted model, not a curated record